AAAUUGAAGAGUUUGAUCAUGGCUCAGAUUGAACGCUGGCGGCAGGCCUAACACAUGCAAGUCGAGCGGAAACGAGUUAUCWGAACCUUCGGGGGACGAUAACGGCGUCGAGCGGCGGACGGGUGAGUAAUGCCUAGGAAAUUGCCCUGAUGUGGGGGAUAACCAUUGGAAACGAUGGCUAAUACCGCAUGAUGCCUACGGGCCAAAGAGGGGGACCUUCGGGCCUCUCGCGUCAGGAUAUGCCUAGGUGGGAUUAGCUAGUUGGUGAGGUAAGGGCUCACCAAGGCGACGAUCCCUAGCUGGUCUGAGAGGAUGAUCAGCCACACUG
This 328-nucleotide ribosomal RNA is filed under the name Vibrio parahaemolyticus. RNAcentral's name for it is "bacterial SSU rRNA". The record is from RNAcentral. Lineage: Bacteria; Pseudomonadati; Pseudomonadota; Gammaproteobacteria; Vibrionales; Vibrionaceae.